CGUAGGGUCCAAGCGUUAUCCGGAAUCACUGGGCGUAAAGCGUGCGUAGGUGGCGCAUUAAGUGAGAUGUUAAAUCGUGUGGCUCAACCAUAUCGAUGCAUCUCAUACUGGUGUGCUAGAGGACGGCAGAGGCAAGUGGAAUUAGCAGUGUAGCAGUGAAAUGCGUAGAUAUUGCUAGGAACACCAAUGGCGAAGGCAGCUUGCUGGGCCACUCCUGACACUGAGGUACGAAAGCGUGGGGAGCGAACAGGAUUAGAUACCCUGGUAGUCCACGCCGUAAACGAUGCAUACUAGUCGUAUGGGGUAUCGACCCCCUGUGCGACGCAGCUAACGCGUUAAGUAUGCCGCCUGGGAAGUACGGCCGCAAGGCUA
Molecule: ribosomal RNA, 372 nt
Filed under: uncultured organism
Description: bacterial SSU rRNA
Rfam family: Bacterial small subunit ribosomal RNA
Source: RNAcentral